Myodes glareolus (Bank vole) is the source of this 3027-nucleotide non-coding RNA. Lineage: Eukaryota; Metazoa; Chordata; Mammalia; Rodentia; Cricetidae. The record is from RefSeq and is a predicted model, not a curated record.
CAAGCCAUUGUUCUUUCCCAAAGGAUAAAAUACCUAUCUAUGGAUUUAUUUCUGGAGAAGAAAAUUUAUUAUUAAGGUAAAUUUAAAAAUUAACUUAGAUAAUCAUAUUAGAAUUCAAUAGUCUCAUAAUAAACAGUAGGGUUUCCUAUUCAUAAGAUAUGUUUGCGAGAAGACCUCUGAUUAAUGAGUAUACCAUCAUUGAAUGGUUAUACAGAGUUAACACUAAUUUGUGUACUCUCGCUGUCUAAUCAAGUGCUGUAGUUUGCCAUUCUAUGAUUCUUUACAUGAAAAGUAAAACAAUUCACCUCUAUUGUUAAAGAAAACGUGUUGCACAAUAUAGGAUGGCAAUACUUAAAGCCGCAGGCACCAUUCCAUGCUGCUGGAGCUCAGAGGUCCUUAGUGUAAAGCAAAGUCCACCACUGCUGUAAGUGUGAACACUCCUGAGUGUAAAGCUGUAAGUGUGAACACUCCUGAGUAUAAAGCUGUAAGUGUGAACGCCCCUUAGUGUGAAGCAGAGCUUUACCACUGCUGUAAGUGUGAAGUUACAUCGCCUUAAACACAGUCUUAACUAAGUAUUUUCAUAUGCCAAGUGACAGGUUCAGAACUGUGAUCACACACACACACACACACACACACACACACACACACACAAAUGCACGCGCAAAAAUAAAGUCUCUUCCCUGUAGCUCCUCCUAUCUCAGUCAUCUCCGAGUCUUUAUGAAACGGCCCGGUCCAGGCAUCCUGGUGAAAGGCGGCACUGCACUUAUACAUCACGUUAAUUAGUAGAGUUCAAAGACCUGUGUAAACAUUACCUAAUUAAACUUCACAACAAGUCAGUGAAGCAAGAGAGCUUUACCCAUUAUCCUCAUUCACAGAAGCUAGAUUUUGAGGUACUAGGAGGCUAAGUGAUUUCUUAGUUUCACAAUGUUGAGUCAGAAGUGAGACUGGGAACAAGACCAGAACUCAGAUAUAAUACUGGAGCCAUGGAAAUGCCUAUUCAGGUGGAUCACUCUAUCAGCUGGAAGGUAGCCUCCUACUUAAAUACUAAGAGUAAGUGCAAUGGAAUGUGUAUGAAUGCAUGUUGUCUUGUAGAUCAGUAAACAUUCUGAAGCCUUAUUUGCUCUGGUGGCAGUCAUAUCUGGGAUACAUGGAGCCUAACUGUCUUAGUUAUGUUUGUGUAGCUGAGACUAUAAUACCUGAGAGGAAAAAAAAUGGAAAAUUAAGGAAUGAUUUGUUGUUACUCCUAAUUUCAGAGGCUUCACUCUGUCAGGGAAAUCAAGAGAGAAAGUUAUACUGGGGUAGGCAGAAAGCACAGGAAGGGAAAGGAAGAGGCCAGUGACAAGUUAUCAGGAGAAACCGUCUUCCUCCAGCUUGGUUCUGCCCCUAAGGUUUUCAGAUCCUCUCAGACUACCAGCUUGGGACUUAGUGUUCAACACCCGAGUCAUGUAGAGUCAUUCAUAUGGACUCCAUUGCACACUCGUUAAUUAGAACCCCUAACAGUAAGAGUAUUUUCUCCCAAGCAUCUUUCUGCCAUUUCUAGGAAGUCUCAGGAGUGCUGGCAAAUGAGGCAUUAGAAGACAUCCAGACAGCACAUCCCAUUCUUUCUGUCAUUCUUUCUCUGUGCUUUGUCUCCUAUAUGAUACAUGCAUGGCAAUGACAUGUCAGAAUAAUUAUGUUCACCAUAAAGGCAACAUCUGGGGAAACCAGCAUAGUGGCAGGUUUAUGACCAAGCUAAGGAUCUUGAGCUGUAUUAGAUUUCAUCAACUUGGAUACAGAUAUUUGGUGGGGUACAGAAAUUCCUAGCGUAACUAUUAAGUAGUCCCAUUAACUUCUGCCUCAAAUAAUUUUCCUGAACAGCUGAAGGGAUGCAAGCUUCUCUUCUCUUCCUAUAAGCAAAUCUUAGUCUCUGCAAAAGGAUCAUGCUGCAUCUGCAGAUCUGGAUAUGGACAUAGCUUAGAGACUGGUGAGCUAAAUAUCUAAGUCUAUAUUGACAGCAAAAGCUUCAGGAGGUCCCUGAAACUGAGCAGAAUCACCAGGUCCCUCUAGUCACAAUGUGUAAAAGCUGCAUGAACUCUCAGGUAAAGUGAGAAGUGCCUGGAAGAGAUAAUCUGUAACCUGUUGGGCUGCCUGGAAAGAGAUACUUUCUAACCUGUUGAGCUGCUUUCAAAUUAUGCAGUGUGUUUCAGGUUACAGCUUUUGUGAGUCAUCACUCAUGCUGGACGGGCUUUUGGUGAGACAGUUGUCUCAGUCGUUCCUGUUCUCGUAAAUAACCCCUCAACCAUAUUCCUCUGGACCCUCAAUGAAACUCCCUGUACUAUGAAGUUGGAACUCCAUGGCAUCCUUACUCAGGUCUGCUGCCAGUUCUCUGGAUGGGGGCCUUACAAGAUGGAAGAUGGCAUCUCACAUCUCCCCAGGAACAGAGUUACACAAGGAGCUUCCACACUCUUACCAUUGAGUGCAAUAUUUCCUGUGCAAGGCCUGAGUCAACGGUGCUGAUGCAACACCAUCUUCACUCUCCAUAAAGUGAACAGCCCCAAACAAGGAGUUAAGAAGAAUCUAGGGCUGAAUGGGUUUGACAAAGGCUGUCUUCCCCUACAAAGACCAUCCUCAUCUUCUAGUAAAGAAGCUUGGACGAAGACAACCCCCUGGUUUCUGACGAAGACUGUUUGAGCCCAUCAGUGAGAUGUCUAUUGCUGAGAGUGAGGUUCUUCAACAGGUUCAAGAAGCACAGUGAUGAACAAGACACAGUCCUGGAUGCUGAGGUCCCAGUACAGUGGAAGUCCUACCGUAAUGAUGUUCCUACCGUAAUUCUCAGGAUUGCCCACGUGUCACAUCCCAAAAUGCUCCUUUAUAUUUCUGGUCUCCUUUUCUUUUUUAUUUAUAUUCAAAACCACCAUUUUUAUUAGCUCUUUGAUAAUUCCAAGCAAUGUUUUACUCAUAUUUACACCUUUCCCCCAACUAUACCCCUUCUAUAUCUUUAUUGGUUUGCUGUACAUGAACCAAUAGAAUAGAAAAUCCAAAAAUUGA